AGUGAACGCUGGCGGCAGGCCUAACACAUGCAAGUCGAACGGCAGCACAGUAAGAGCUUGCUCUUACGGGUGGCGAGUGGCGGACGGGUGAGGAAUACAUCGGAAUCUACUUUUUCGUGGGGGAUAACGUAGGGAAACUUACGCUAAUACCGCAUACGACCUACGGGUGAAAGCAGGGGAUCUUCGCACCUUGCGCGAUUGAAUGAGCCGAUGUCGGAUUAGCUAGUUGGCGGGGUAAAGGCCCACCAAGGCGACGAUCCGUAGCUGGUCUGAGAGGAUGAUCAGCCGCACUGGAGCUGAGACACGGUCCAGACUCCUACGGGAGGCAGCAGUGGGGAAUAUUGGACAAUGGGCGCAAGCCUGAUCCAGCCAUACCGCGUGGGUGAAGAAAGCCUUCGGGUUGUAAAGCCCUUUUGUUGGGAAAGAAAAGCAGCAGGUUAAUACCCCGCUGUUCUGACGGUACCCGAAGAAUAAGCACCGGCUAACUUCGUG
This 492-nucleotide ribosomal RNA is filed under the name uncultured bacterium. Its description in RNAcentral is "partial 16S ribosomal RNA". It matches the Rfam family "Bacterial small subunit ribosomal RNA", at positions 29 to 507 of the family's 1533-position model. The record is from RNAcentral.